AGAUCGGUUGUCUUGCGAAAGGGACUUUGUUAAUUAGUAAGAAACAACAUUGAAGGUGAAUUACUAAAAAUAGUACACAAAUUCCAUAUACCUGGACCCUCUUUGGGGAGUAUAUUAACAUUGGUGUCUUCACCAAGAGCAUGUCGGAGGCCAUUUGUCGCAUCCAUCUGUCGAUGUCGGUCUUCCUGCUGUUUCUUCUUCUGAUAAGAUUCUUGUCUCUUUGUGUUCAACUUAUCCUUUUGUUCUUGGUACCCUUGCUCUUCUUUUUUCUUCUUAUAAGUUGCUCUUCUCCAUGCGUUGAUGACAUUCCUUUCUUCCUUUGAUAAGGUCCCUUUACGUUGGCUAGCACGGCCCCUCGUAGCUCCAUCUGUUGUUGUAGGUAUACACAAGUUAGCAUCUGAUUUUGAACAGUAAUAGUAUUUAUGGAUAAAAUCGUGCACCAUCAGGGUUGCCAUAUAUUAAUUAUAUACCAAACCAGAUGAUUCGCAACAAUCCUGUAUGAUGGAUUAAAUUUACCGCUUCAUUAUAUUUAUAAAUUGGAAGGAAGUGUGAGUUCGGAAGCUAUACCUGGACUACCUUUGUGGUUUUCUACGGUUGACGGAGAGGGGAUUGGUGCUUCAUGUAUAAUCAGGCUGCUCGAUGGUCGUGGGUCAGAUGCAACGGCUUGCGAAAGGGAUUGUUCAAAUUAGUAAUCACCAAUAUCGAAGGCAUUUAAAUAUUGCUGAUGAGUUAUACCUGGACUCCCUUUCGGAAGUUCUAUGGUCGAGGGAGACAGGGCAUCUGCUUCACGAAUAAACAAGCCACUCGAUGGUUGUGGGCCAGCUCCAAUGGCUUGCGAAAGUGAUUGUUUAGGUUAAUAAUUUAACAAUCACCAAAUACCAAUCAAUUAUCAAUUAAAUAUACCUGGACCCUCUUUGGGGAGUCUAUCAUAAUUGGUGAUAUCACCAAGAGGUUGUCGGAGCCUAUUUGUCGCCUCCAUUUGUCGAUGUCGGUGUUGCUUAGCAAGAUUCACCCAUUCCCAACGAGAACCAAACGGGCUCAAGUCGUUUGAGGACAUCACUGUCAUAGACAGUUAUCAUUGGCAAAGAAGACCAAUAAGUACCGUAUACUAUAUUUAACACACUUUAAUCUACAUUGAACAGAAGUAAAGUAAGUUCUUGGCAUGUUUGGUACAAUAACGCUUCUCUUCAGUUUUUGUGCCCAAUAACCAACAUUGUCAUGUAAUGCAUUUCUUGCUACAGGUUCCGUAAAAUGGCAGCGGGUAGAGUUCUUGUCCUGCACAAAGGAAGGUAACUAACCUUCUUGUAUUAUCUUUAUAUUUGCAUGAUUUUGGUGGAAGCAACAGAACAAUUUGAAAUGCAUUGAGUUGUGCAAUGGAUUAACUACUUUGGUUCAAGUUUUCUUCUUCCUAGGCUAGUCGAGAUUAAGAAAAGCAAAAAAAUAUGAGAGUAGAUGAAACCACACAGAAAAGCAUAGAGUCAGGGGACAACAUGAAAAUGUUGCUUUGGCCUGGCAGCAUCAUCUCGUCCUCCAUUUGUAGUAUUUUUUUCUCGGACACAAAUCUUAUUUCUCAUACGCCACUGACAAGACAAACUUGCUUGGAGUUUUGGCUCCAGGGAGCAUAUACUCCCUGGUGAACAGUAAAGAGAAAACAAAAUCCUAAAGAUGGAUCUUGUUUUGUAAACACAAUAAAUUUUCAAAAUCCUGAAGCUUUUCUGUAGACCUUCAUGUUAGUGUAACAAGCAUGCUUGCCAAUUAUCUCGGUCUACUCCUUGCUCUUGCUUUGGUGUCAUCACUCUACUACUCUCCAUACAGUUUCACCCUGACAUGAAAAGCUAGUUCUUAUUAUCCAUGUCAUUUAUUUUUGUAUGCAUUGGUAACGCUCAUAUGUAUAUAUGUGCUAAUCAAAUAUUUGGAUUUUGAACCACCAGACCAUUCAAAUAAAUGUAUGGACUCUCACCUAAAUAUAAAUAAAUGGCAGGGAUAGUUCCACCAGUACAUGCUUGAGGAACACUAUGUUUGACCACCAAGAUAGGUUUGUGCCAAGUACUGAUUUGUGACAAGUAUAUAUACAAACUGAAGAUAGUUCCAUCAGUAUAUAUAGAAACUAAAGAUAGCCAACUAAGUGCAUAUAAGUGCAUACUGGAUUCCAUAUCAAUUAUGUACCACAGUUAUUUUAACAAGCUCUUGAUAAUAAUAAAAAAGGAACACUAUGGAGCUAAUCUGAAAUCGCACAAUCAUAUUUGUGCUGCAUUUAUUCUGAUAGCGUUGCUUGUUGAAUAGAAAUCAUGUAUAUAUCAAAUUAUCCUCCUUAGCCAUGUUCUUGGUACAGGUUACUUUGGUAGAACGUCAGAAAAAUUAUAGCCGGGGUUAGGAUACCUCUCGAGAAGCAGUAAGUUUUCGAAAGGGUUGAAUGUAUACAUAUGUCAUGCCUUGCUAUGCAUUGGUUGUAUACUUAAAGCAGUUUAAUCUAAUACUUUGAAUAGGUAUAUGCCUCGCUAGCACACAAGAACAGUCAGGACCAUGUAUGAAUCGGACGAACAGUUGGGGCUAUGUCACACCACCAAUCGAACAGUUGUAUAGUUAGCCCAGUCUCUUCCCGCAUUAGUUUAACCAGAAGCGAACUGUGUACAGGUUACUAACAUGUGUCUCGCUCACAGACGCGCCGGCACCCGUGGAUCGCUGGAAGCCUCACCGACACCCAUGUCUUGCUGGCAGCCGUGGCGGCACCAGGGGCAAAGUUUGAAGAAACAGGCCUCGCACACCUGAUCGGACGGCAAACUUUGAAGAAAGAUAGGAUUUGAAAAUUAUUUGUUGUAUAUAGAAAGAGCAAAAAUAUUAGAUUAAACUGUUGUUUAUGGAAGCUUCUUGUGACGGAAUUUUCUGAUAUGAUUCCAUAUGAUUUGAUUUAAUUGGUGUCGUAAAUUGAAGGGAAGGAUGGAAGGUUUGUUGUUUUAUAUGGAAGGGGAUGGAACGUUUGGCUUGGUUCU
This 2990-nucleotide long non-coding RNA is filed under the name Triticum aestivum (bread wheat). RNAcentral's name for it is "long non-coding RNA (TAES_LNC027853)". The record is from RNAcentral. Lineage: Eukaryota; Viridiplantae; Streptophyta; Magnoliopsida; Poales; Poaceae.